This 99-nucleotide non-coding RNA is filed under the name Heyndrickxia coagulans. RNAcentral describes it as "SAM riboswitch (S box leader)". It matches the Rfam family "SAM riboswitch aptamer (S box leader)". Rfam says of the family: The SAM riboswitch is found upstream of a number of genes which code for proteins involved in methionine or cysteine biosynthesis in Gram-positive bacteria. The SAM riboswitch acts at the level of transcription termination control. Lineage: Bacteria; Bacillati; Bacillota; Bacilli; Caryophanales; Bacillaceae. The record is from RNAcentral.
UCUUAUCCAGAGAGGUGGAGGGACUGGCCCCUUGAAGCCUCGGCAGCGGUCUUUUUUAAAGAACUGUGCCAAUUCCAGAAAGCAUUGCUUGAAGAUAAG